Molecule: unclassified non-coding RNA, 212 nt
Filed under: Hevea brasiliensis (rubber tree)
Lineage: Eukaryota; Viridiplantae; Streptophyta; Magnoliopsida; Malpighiales; Euphorbiaceae
Source: RNAcentral
UCUGUAAGAAUGGCUGCCUGGAUGUCAUGGGAGGGGAGCUUCUAAGCCUAGUCCAAGAUGUCUCUUUAGUCUCAGCACUGAAACUAGCUACGGUUGACAUAAAUACUUUGUUAGAAGAAGAUAGGGAAGGAUUGAUUGUUGCCAUAUGUGUGCUAGGAGUCACAGCCACAGCCAUAUUUUACACUUCCAAAUUACCAAAAUUUUACAAUGGC